Molecule: unclassified non-coding RNA, 848 nt
Filed under: Zea mays
Lineage: Eukaryota; Viridiplantae; Streptophyta; Magnoliopsida; Poales; Poaceae
Description: misc RNA Zm00001eb354030
Source: RNAcentral
GUCCCAGCGCGCGGUGCUCCAGUGGCGUCUUCUCCUUGCUGUGCUCGCCGGAGCUCCUCCAGCUCGACCGCUCGGCUUCCCCUAGCCUCUUCCCCUGCGAGCUCGACUCCUGCUCGCCUAUGGAGUUCGCCCAGCUCCCUGCUCCGGUGACUAGGGCUCGGCGUCCGGCUCCCUGGAUGCUUGCCCUGCUCGCCGCCAUCCUGCUCGGCCAGCGCAUCCCUUCUCUGCUCUCUCUCUCUAUUCCCUGCUCACUGGCAGCCGACUCCCUCUACCUCCCAUGGACGCCAGCCGCGCCCCUGGUUCCUGCCUCUGCUCGCCGUGGAGUCUACGCGCGCGCUGCUCCCCUAUUGGCCGCGACGAGCUCGCCCUUUCUUCAGCCCGGUUUCUGUUUCUCAUCUGCUCCUGCGUCGCGCGCGAGUCCCUCUGGCCGUCUUCGCUCCCAGCGCCGCGCACACUGCUCCUUGGGGCUCGGCCGCGACCUCGCCGUCGUUCGGCAGCUCCAGCGCCUCUGUUCUUCCCUGCGCGCGCGUUCCAUCCCGCGCUCGGCGCUUUCCUGCUCCCAAGUCCGGUGCCCUGCCGAGCUUGACCCUUACCGUGCGCAUCUCAGCUGGUGCCCAUGGCCGCGCCCGGCUUCUUGCUCCACCCAUAGUCGAAGCUCCUUCCGGUUGCCGUCGCUCGUCGUCGUCUCUUCGUGCUGGACGACUAGUUUGCCGUGGUCGCGCGUAGUUCCCUGCUCGGCCAGGAUAGUCGCACCGUCGAUUCCGCUUGAGCCCCUUCGCGUUCGUCGAUGCCCCCUGGCUCGACUCUGCCUAGUUCGCGUCCUGCUCGCCUUUGCGUCGCGCGCGUAG